UCGAUUUGGAGUUUGUUGCCUAGAGUGAUGGGCUCCGAAGCUAACGCGAUAAAUCGACCGCCUGGGGAGUACGGCCGCAAGGUUAAAACUCAAAUGAAUUGACGGGGGCCCGCACAAGCGGUGGAGCAUGUGGUUUAAUUCGAUGCAACGCGAAGAACCUUACCUGGUCUUGACAUCCACAGAAUCUUGCAGAGAUGCGGGAGUGCCUUCGGGAACUGUGAGACAGGUGCUGCAUGGCUGUCGUCAGCUCGUGUUGUGAAAUGUUGGGUUAAGUCCCGCAACGAGCGCAACCCUUAUCCUUUGUUGCCAUCGGUUAGGCCGGGAACUCAAAGGAGACUGCCGUUGAUAAAGCGGAGGAAGGUGGGGACGGCGUCAAGUCAUCAUGGCCCUUACGACCAGGGCUACACACGUGCUACAAUGGCGUAUACAAAGGGAGGCGACCUCGCGAGAGCAAGCGGACCUCAUAAAGUACGUCUAAGUCCGGAUUGGAGUCUGCAACUCGACUCCAUGAAGUCGGAAUCGCUAGUAAUCGUGAAUCAGAAUGUCACGGUGAAUACGUUCCCGGGCCU
Molecule: ribosomal RNA, 569 nt
Filed under: uncultured Gammaproteobacteria bacterium
Lineage: Bacteria; Pseudomonadati; Pseudomonadota; Gammaproteobacteria
Description: bacterial SSU rRNA
Rfam family: Bacterial small subunit ribosomal RNA
Source: RNAcentral